AGUGCGUAAUAGCUCACUGGUCGAGUGACUCUGCGCCGAAAAUUUAACGGGGCUAAACUAUACACCGAAGCUUGGGAUACAUCUAAUGUAUGGUAGGAGAGCGUUCUGUAUGGGGAGAAGUCGUAGCGAAAGCGGCGGUGGACUAUACAGAAGUGAGAAUGCCGGAAUAAGUAGCGAGAAUUAAGUGAGAAUCUUAAUGGCCGAAAGUCUAAGGUUUUUGGAGGAAGGUUCGUCCGCUCCAAGUAAGUCGGGAGCUAAGGUCAGGCCGAAAGGCGUAGCCGAUGCACAUACGGUUGAUAUUCCGUAACCAUCUGUAAUUUAAGCAAAGGGACACUUCAAAAGGGUGUGACCCGGGCGUUGGUUGACCCGGGCGUAAGGGACCGAAAUUAGAGUAGGGAAGCACACUUAGCUGAAGGCGAGAAAAGCUUUGCGUAUAGAAGCAGAUGCCCGUACCGCAAACCGACACAGGUGGACAGGAAGAGAAUUCUAAGGCCAGCGGGAGAAGGGUAGUUAAGGAACUCGGCAAAUUGACUCCGUAACUUCGGAAUAAGGAGUGCUCGAAAGAGCCGCAGAGAAUAGGCCCAGGCGACUGUUUAGCAAAAACACAGGUCUCUGCCAAAUCGAAAGAUGAAGUAUAGGGGCUGACACCUGCCCGGUGCCGGAAGGUUAAGAGGAGGAGUGAGAGCUCCUAAUUGAAGCCCCGGUAAACGGCGGCCGUAACUAUAACGGUCCUAAGGUAGCGAAAUUCCUUGUCGGGUAAGUUCCGACCCGCACGAAUGGUGUAACGAUCUGGGCACUGUCUCAACUACCCACCCGGCGAAAUUGUAGUACCGGUGAAGAUGCCGGUUACCUGCGGCAAGACGGAAAGACCCCAUGGAGCUUUACUGUAGCCUGAUAUUGGGUUUCGGAAAUCUAUGUACAGGAUAGGCGGGAGACUGGGAAACAUGAGCGUCAGCUUGUGUGGAGUCGAUGUUGGGAUACCGCCCUUAGGUUUCUGGAAUUCUAACCUGCGGCCGUGAAUCCGGUCGGGGGACAUUGUCAGGUGGGCAGUUUGACUGGGGCGGUCGCCUCCGAAAAGGUAACGGAGGCGCUCAAAGGUUAGCUCAGCACGGACGGAAACCGUGCCUCUGAGUGUAAACGCAAAAGCUAGCCUAACUGCGAGGGUGACGGCCCGAGCAGUAACGAAAGUUGGAGUUAGUGAUCCGGCGGUAU
Molecule: ribosomal RNA, 1212 nt
Filed under: human gut metagenome
Description: bacterial LSU rRNA
Rfam family: Bacterial large subunit ribosomal RNA
Source: RNAcentral